Non-coding RNA from Salmo salar (Atlantic salmon), 54 nucleotides. The record is from Rfam. Lineage: Eukaryota; Metazoa; Chordata; Actinopteri; Salmoniformes; Salmonidae.
UGCACUCACUACUGUAAGUCGCUCUGGAUAAGAGUGUCUGCUAAAUGACUGAAA